This 230-nucleotide ribosomal RNA is filed under the name Vibrio cholerae. RNAcentral describes it as "partial 16S ribosomal RNA". It matches the Rfam family "Bacterial small subunit ribosomal RNA", at positions 890 to 1119 of the family's 1533-position model. Lineage: Bacteria; Pseudomonadati; Pseudomonadota; Gammaproteobacteria; Vibrionales; Vibrionaceae. The record is from RNAcentral.
AAGAUUAAAACUCAAAUGAAUUGACGGGGGCCCGCACAAGCGGUGGAGCAUGUGGUUUAAUUCGAUGCAACGCGAAGAACCUUACCUACUCUUGACAUCCAGAGAAGCCAGCGGAGACGCAGGUGUGCCUUCGGGAGCUCUGAGACAGGUGCUGCAUGGCUGUCGUCAGCUCGUGUUGUGAAAUGUUGGGUUAAGUCCCGCAACGAGCGCAACCCUUAUCCUUGUUUGCC